GAAAGAGAUGAAAGAAUAAGGAGUGGUUGCAAGGCUAGGGGAGUAACCCUAAAUAGAGGAAAACAUAAUCAUGCCAUUAUGCCCGCUGCUGGAGAGGAAUGUCCCUAUGUUAAGAUAGGAAAGGAGAAGAAAACGAGCUAAGAUAGGAAGAAAAGGACUUUUUAAUUCGGUGCCGGUAUAAAUUGUUUCUCUUUUAUCUCAAGGCACCACAGACCCAAGGCUGAAUAAGGCCUGAAUUUUGAUGCCUUUCUCUUUCAUGUAGCUGUAAAUCCUUUUAUCUUACUACCAGGAGCAUUUUCUAAGCUGGCUGGCCAAAUUAAGUGUGUAUUCUAAGGCGAAGAAAUGGAAAGGUAACUAACCCCUCACCCACCCAGCACUAUGCCCAGGAUCGUCCUAACCCCCACUCUAUCAGUCCUUAACUCAGUAAUUUAUAGACCCAACAAAGCUAAGACCCACUUCCUUCUUUUGCCAAAUCUCAGUUUACACGCUGUCCCAAAGGAGACAUUUUAGAACCAUAUCGGCAAAAGUCAGUGUUUUCUACUAAUGUGUUUCAUGACCCCAUGCUUUACAAUUGAUUAUUGAUUUAAAAAAUCUUUAAGUUUGGUUAAAUUAGCAACAAUAAACCUUGUAAAUUCCCUGUUGGGAGUUUUUACUUAACCUUGGGGCAUUCUCAGAGGGAGGUAACACAAUAUCAAAAACUAAAUUUGCCAACCUGUUGAUCAUUCUAACUGCAAAAGCAUUCAGUUAGCAUGUAUGGUAAGACUAUGCAAGGUCUCUGCCCUUGAGAAGCCAGUAGGGGAAGAUAGUUUCAAAACUAAUUUCCAUAACAAUAAUAUGACAUAUAUACAAAGUGCUGUCAGAAGAGGCAAAACAAGAAAUUUGGGAGAAAUCUGGAAUAGGAAGAGUUCUACAGAGAUUAUGUUUAUGCUGUGUCUCAAAGUGGGAGUUGCCAAAAAGAGAAGAGGGAACAGGAUGAAAGGCAUUCUGGGGAACGGAAACAAGGGCAAAGCAAGGAGUGAAAGGGCCAGGCCUGUUUAUGGAAACAUGGAAAGUGCAGUGAGGCUGGGAAGUAGGAUGUCUGGCUGGGAGUAAGGAAGAUGAGGCUCAAAAGUGCCUGGCACACCAAGCCAAGAAUUUGGAGUCUACUCUGUAGGCGAUCAUAGAUAGCAGGGAGACAAUCCAGCAAGCAGAGCUUUUACAAACCAGGGGUGACAGGAUUGUGAGUGGAGUAAAAGCAGCUUGUAUGGUAUACCUUGUGAUAGGUGAAUCAGAACCCUGCAAAUAAAUCAACUUUCUAACUUUGUUUAAACAGGCCCACUUGUUUUUGUGUCUUGAAAAGUCCCUGAUUAAAAUGCAAAUCAACCUUUGGCAUUAUUAGACAAUAUCAUUGCUAUUUGAUGACAGCCUGCUGAAAGCAAGGCUCUAAUGGAACUUAGAACCGCUGAGAAGGGAGAUGGGGGCCUGAAAGGAGACAGAUGGAAGCACUCCUAUCUGUUUUGAAUAUACCACAUAGUUUUUUUCAUUUUGUUUUGUUUUGAAGACAGAAUCUUGCUGUGUCGCCCAGGCUGGACUGCAGUGGUGUAAUCUUGGCUCACUGCAACCUCUGCCUCCCGGGUUCAAGCGAUUCUUGUGCGUCAGCCUUCUUGAGUACCUGGGACUACAGGCAUGUAUCACUACGCCUGCUAAUUUUUUUUGUAUUUUUAGUAGAGUCAGGGUUUUGCUAUGUUGGCCAGGCUGGUCUCGAACUCCUGGCCUCAAGUGAUCCGCCUGCCUCAGCCUCCCAAAGUGCUGGGCCUACCAUAUAGUUCUUGCUGCCCAAAUAGAAACAGUAAACUCUUAAGGCCAGGAAAGACACCUUAAUACAUUGAACUUUCCUUUAUCGUGUCUCACAGUUCACAAAAUGCUGAACCACUGUAAAUGCAGGGUAAAUGCUUAUUGAAUUGAGUAUUUCAUUGCAUGUGAAUAAAAUAAUGCUGUGUCUUUAUAAGGGAGGAUUAACUGACUCAUUUUCAGGAUUUAAUGAACAAGGUUGUUCUAAUUCAUGUAGUUAAAAUCUUUAGGAGGGUAUAUGAAGUGCUAGCCAUUUUAAAAAAUUACAAAUAUUAGUGCAACUGAAAGGGAAUGGACAUAAAGAUAAGAGAAAGCUGCUUUUGCCAUACAAAGAUAAACUUUUCUACUAACCUAAAUGAUAGCUGAGUCCUGUUAAUAUUUAACUACAUUCUAGUAAUAAUAGUUCCCUAUCUCACAUGGUUAUCUAAGCCCUUCAGUCUUCUGAGUUACAUGUUGGUUUUAAAAAGCACAGAUCUGGCCACGCGUGGUGGCUCAUGCCUGUAAUCCCAGCACUUUGGGAGGCCAACAUGGGUGGAUCACAUGAGACCAGGAGUUCCAGACCAGCCUGGCCAAUAUAGUGAAACCCCGUUUCCACUAAAAAUACAAAAAUGAGCCGGACAUGGUGGUGUUCACCUGUAAUCCCAGCUACUCAAAUGGCUGAGGCAAAAGAAUCCCUUGAACCUGAGGCAGAGGUUGCAGUGAGCCAAGCUCACACUGCUGCACUCCAGCCUGGGUGACAGAGUGAGACCUUGUUACAAAAAACAAACAAACAAACAAAAAACAAGGCUAGGUGGCUCAGGCUUGUAAUCCCAAAACUUUGGGAGGCUGAGGCGGGCCGAUCACCUGAGGUCAGGGGUUCAAGACCAGCCUGGCCAACAUGGUGAAACCCUAUCUCUACUAAAAACACAAAAAUUAUCUGGGCACGUUGGCAGGUGCCUGUAAUCCCAACUACUCGGGAGGAUAAGGCAGAAGAAUCGCUUGAACUCAGGAGGUGGAGGUUGCAGUGAGCCGAGAUUGUGCCACUACACUCCUGCCUGGGCAACAGAGAAAGAGUCUGUCUCAAAAAAAAACAAAAACCUUCCAAGUUGGUUUGUAAAAUAUCUUUUACAUCAAGAACCAACUAAUUGAGGCUAGUUGAAGAACAUAAGCGUAUAUUCUGUACACCCAAAUGUUUGCCAAUCAACGUUAAACACAUUCUCAACAUUAAAAUACAUUUUCAAGGUUGAACUCACGGGAGCCACACUAAUCAAGAUGUGUAAUGUAGGACACCAUACAAUUAUAGCCAUUAUCAGACUAAACCAGACUGGGCACUUAACACAUAUUCCAUAUUUAGGAUCUUUCAUCUUGUGAGUUCAACUCAUACCUUAGAAACAUUAAUUAAACUUUACAAUGUUGCCACAUGAAGUGUAGUUAUUAUUGGCCACCUUUAACCAAGCUGUUUAUAAAGGUAAGUAUAUGUGUAAAGGAAGAAAUACAAACAAAGACAGGGAGCUAGCUUUUACAAUGUCAAUUCCUUUAUUUCUGUGGACAUCUCCCUAAAAAGGCAGAGUGUAACCCAUUUCCCCUUUUUGAUCACAGGGAUUCCCCAGGGUGCUUGGGGAAUCAAGAUGUGUAAUGUAGGACGCCAUACAGUUAUAGCCAUCUGGGGUGCUUUAGGUCCUCUCCAGAUAUCUCAUACCAGUGGCUUGCCACUAGACAGACACUCCUGGAAGCCUUCCUAUCCAAUGGGUGGGAUUUUCCUUAGGAAUGGGAGAGACUGCUUGCCCAGGAGAAUCUGAAGAUGUUUCUGAGAAUGCAUUAAAAAAACACAAACAACAACAAAAAGCAAAAACCAAAACAAAACAAAACAGAAAAAACGGCUGGGCACAGUGGUUCACACCUGUAAUCCCAGCACUUUGGGAGGCCAGAGUGGGUGGAUCACUUGGCCAGGAGUUUGAGACCAGCCUGGGCAACAUGGCGAUACCCUGUCUCUACUAAAAAUACAAAAAUUAGCCAGGCCUGGUGGUGCACAUCUGUGGUCCCAGCUACUUGGGAGGCUGAAGUAGGAGAAUUGUUUGAACCCGGGAGGCAGAGGUUGCAGUGAGCCGAG
Molecule: long non-coding RNA, 3919 nt
Filed under: Homo sapiens (human)
Lineage: Eukaryota; Metazoa; Chordata; Mammalia; Primates; Hominidae
Description: HSALNT0408612
Source: RNAcentral